GCCAGGGUGGCUGAGUCUGGUCAAAGCGCUGGACUUAAGCUCCAGUUGACGUUCACUCGCGGGACGUCGCGCGGGUUCAAAUCCCGUCCCUGGCG
RNAcentral lists this transfer RNA (95 nucleotides) under Candidatus Woesearchaeota archaeon. RNAcentral describes it as "tRNA-Leu". It matches the Rfam family "tRNA". From Rfam's summary of the family: Transfer RNA (tRNA) molecules are approximately 80 nucleotides in length. Their secondary structure includes four short double-helical elements and three loops (D, anti-codon, and T loops). The record is from RNAcentral. Lineage: Archaea; Nanobdellati; Candidatus Woesearchaeota.